UAGGGAAUCUUCCACAAUGGGGCGAAAGCCUGAUGGAGCAACGCCGCGUGUGUGAUGAAGGGUUUCGGCUCGUAAAACACUGUUGUAAGAGAAGAAUGACAUUGAGAGUAACUGUUCAAUGUGUGACGGUAUCUUACCAGAAAGGACGGCUAAAUACGUGCCAAC
RNAcentral lists this ribosomal RNA (165 nucleotides) under uncultured bacterium. Its description in RNAcentral is "partial 16S rRNA". It matches the Rfam family "Bacterial small subunit ribosomal RNA", at positions 355 to 512 of the family's 1533-position model. The record is from RNAcentral.